Molecule: ribosomal RNA, 253 nt
Filed under: uncultured bacterium
Lineage: Bacteria
Description: partial 16S ribosomal RNA
Rfam family: Bacterial small subunit ribosomal RNA
Source: RNAcentral
UACGAAGGGGGCUAGCGUUGUUCGGAAUUACUGGGCGUAAAGCGCACGUAGGCGGAUAUUUAAGUCGGGGGUGAAAUCCCGGGGCUCAACCCCGGAACUGCCUUCGAUACUGGGUAUCUUGAGUUCGGAAGAGGUGAGUGGAAUUGCGAGUGUAGAGGUGAAAUUCGUAGAUAUUCGCAAGAACACCAGUGGCGAAGGCGGCUCACUGGCCCGAAACUGACGCUGAGGCACGAAAGCGUGGGGAGCAAACAGG